GACAGCCAGGAUGUUGGCUUAGAAGCAGCCAUCAUUUAAAGAAAGCGUAAUAGCUCACUGGUCGAGUCGGCCUGCGCGGAAGAUGUAACGGGGCUAAACCAUGCACCGAAGCUGCGGCAGCGACGCUUAUGCGUUGUUGGGUAGGGGAGCGUUCUGUAAGCCUGCGAAGGUGGCCUGUGAGGGUUGCUGGAGGUAUCAGAAGUGCGAAUGCUGACAUAAGUAACGAUAAAGCGGGUGAAAAGCCCGCUCGCCGGA
RNAcentral lists this ribosomal RNA (255 nucleotides) under Salmonella enterica subsp. enterica. RNAcentral's name for it is "partial 23S ribosomal RNA". It matches the Rfam family "Bacterial large subunit ribosomal RNA", at positions 1088 to 1341 of the family's 2925-position model. Lineage: Bacteria; Pseudomonadati; Pseudomonadota; Gammaproteobacteria; Enterobacterales; Enterobacteriaceae. RNAcentral also lists the same sequence under 4 other names. The record is from RNAcentral.